CGGACGGGUGAGUAACACGUGGAUAACCUACCUAUAAGACUGAGAUAACUUCGGGAAACCGGAGCUAAUACCGGAUAAUAUAUUGAACCGCAUGGUUCAAUAGUGAAAGACGGUUUUGCUGUCACUUAUAGAUGGAUCCGCGCCGCAUUAGCUAGUUGGUAAGGUAACGGCUUACCAAGGCAACGAUGCGUAGCCGACCUGAGAGGGCGAUCGGCCACACUGGAACUGAGACACGGUCCAG
Molecule: ribosomal RNA, 241 nt
Filed under: uncultured Staphylococcus sp.
Lineage: Bacteria; Bacillati; Bacillota; Bacilli; Caryophanales; Staphylococcaceae
Description: partial 16S ribosomal RNA
Rfam family: Bacterial small subunit ribosomal RNA
Source: RNAcentral